CAACUUAUGAAAUUUUUCGAAUUGUCUAGGUAUGUACAGUACCUAAUGUAGGGUGGUAACGAUAUUACGAAUACAGAACAAACUCCAAACAAAGACGACUUUGUUCAGACUUUGAAAUGAGAGGUUGUUCGAGCAGGACUUUAGCAGAUUAAUGUAAAGUACUGGUUAUGAUUAUUAGUCGUGUUGGUUAAGAAAAAGGUUAGGUUAAGGAUCUCCAGCCGCCGUCUCUCAAGGAUCAUAUAUAAGGUACAUAAAUAAUGGCAUUAAUGGAGAGUACAUCUGCACCAAUGGACUCUGUUGCUGAUGAUCUUUCAAAUGAAAUAUCAAGGAUGAGUUGUGACAAUACUACAGAACAGAAACAUCAAUUUGGAAGAACACUGGUAUGCGUAGAAUAUCCUGCUAUUGUACAGAAUGAUGACAAAAUGAUACAGACUCUCUCGGUGGUAUCCACAAAAUAUCAAAGGUCUACGCAGAGCGUAAUCGAAGACUAGAGCUGCGUUUUCGACCAGAUGAUGUGUAUUGCAGACCUGCGUGUGCAGAUAGACAGAAGGUCAGUGGUCUGUUGCUGUCUGUCAAAGUGAGACGGAAAAAAGAGCAGUGGAGAUGUAGUGAACGUUACUCCCACUGUUGUCGGGAAGGUCAAUAUGGCUUUUAAGUUUACAAGUCUGUGUGAUUUCCAAUUCUUAGCCAUGGACAAGAUAAAUGAUAAAAUGGAAUGUAUAUACGACCAGCUGGUACCCAAAAGUCUCUUGACUCCCCAGUGGUUUCCAGGAUCCAGCUCCGUAUUUUCUUACCGCCAGCAACAUUCUCUCGUAUGGACACA
Homalodisca vitripennis (glassy-winged sharpshooter) is the source of this 823-nucleotide long non-coding RNA. RefSeq lists it as uncharacterized. The transcript has 5 exons. The record is from RefSeq and is a predicted model, not a curated record. Lineage: Eukaryota; Metazoa; Arthropoda; Insecta; Hemiptera; Cicadellidae.